RNAcentral lists this ribosomal RNA (253 nucleotides) under uncultured bacterium. RNAcentral's name for it is "partial 16S ribosomal RNA". It matches the Rfam family "Bacterial small subunit ribosomal RNA", at positions 524 to 776 of the family's 1533-position model. The record is from RNAcentral.
UACGGAGGAUGCAAGCGUUCUCCGGAAUGAUUGGGCGUAAAGCGUCCGCAGGUGGCAAUGUAAGUCUGCUGUUAAAGAGUCUAGCUCAACUAGAUAAGAGCAGUGGAAACUACAUAGCUAGAGUACGUUCGGGGCAGAGGGAAUUCCUGGUGUAGCGGUGAAAUGCGUAGAGAUCAGGAAGAACACCAGUGGCGAAGGCGCUCUGCUAGGCCGUAACUGACACUGAGGGACGAAAGCUAGGGGAGCGAAUGGG